RNAcentral lists this transfer RNA (72 nucleotides) under Heterocephalus glaber (naked mole-rat). It matches the Rfam family "tRNA". From Rfam's summary of the family: Transfer RNA (tRNA) molecules are approximately 80 nucleotides in length. Their secondary structure includes four short double-helical elements and three loops (D, anti-codon, and T loops). Lineage: Eukaryota; Metazoa; Chordata; Mammalia; Rodentia; Bathyergidae. The record is from Rfam by way of RNAcentral.
GGGAUUGUAGCUCAGUGGUAGAGCACAUGCUUAGCAAGCAUGAGGCCCUGGGUUCAAUCUCUAGCAGUACAC